AUGCUUUAGGAAAGUAGGAAUAUUAUUCACAACAAAAACUACACAGACUCCAUCACAGCAUGCACACAGCACCACAGCUUCCUUAACUGCCACCAACAGCCUUUCCUUGACACCACCGCAGCACCUCCUGUCCAACUACACCUACGACUUGCAACUCGAGACCAUCCCCUGCUAACUCAUACAAGCCUGCACUGUUUACACAGCGUGCCUUUAAUAGCCCAGCUUAAGCUUAGAUAACAUUUUUGUGCCUAAAACUAUCAAGUUGCAAUGCACC
RNAcentral lists this long non-coding RNA (274 nucleotides) under Daucus carota (carrot). RNAcentral describes it as "long non-coding RNA (DCAR_LNC003333)". The record is from RNAcentral. Lineage: Eukaryota; Viridiplantae; Streptophyta; Magnoliopsida; Apiales; Apiaceae.